GUGGGGAAUAUUGCACAAUGGGGGAAACCCUGAUGCAGCAACGCCGCGUGAGUGAUGACGGUCUUCGGAUUGUAAAGCUCUGUCUUUAGGGACGAUAAUGACGGUACCUAAGGAGGAAGCCACGGCUAACUACGUGCCAGCAGCCGCGGUAAUACGUAGGUGGCAAGCGUUGUCCGGAUUUACUGGGCGUAAAGGGAGCGUAGGCGGAUUUUUAAGUGGGAUGUGAAAUACUCGGGCUCAACCUGGGUGCUGCAUUCCAAACUGGAAGUCUAGAGUACAGGAGGGGAAAGCGGAAUUCCUAGUGUAGCGGUGAAAUGCGUAGAGAUUAGGAAGAACACCAGUGGCGAAGGCGGCUUUCUGGACUGUAACUGACGCUGAGGCUCGAAAGCGUGGGGAGCAAACAGG
This 405-nucleotide ribosomal RNA is filed under the name uncultured rumen bacterium. Its description in RNAcentral is "bacterial SSU rRNA". It matches the Rfam family "Bacterial small subunit ribosomal RNA", at positions 354 to 776 of the family's 1533-position model. The record is from RNAcentral.